This 301-nucleotide long non-coding RNA is filed under the name Bos taurus (domestic cattle). RNAcentral describes it as "long non-coding RNA NONBTAT011153". Lineage: Eukaryota; Metazoa; Chordata; Mammalia; Artiodactyla; Bovidae. The record is from RNAcentral.
GGAAAUUAUAGGAAGGUUCUCAUUUUAAACCAAGAUGUCUAGUAUCAAACAUUUUUAAAAUAUAGAGGAAAAAAAUUAACCUAACAUAAAUGCUUUUGGGGGGAAAGUGAUGAAGAUGCAAACAUGAAAAACAAAGAAAAGGGAAUGUGAAUACUUCCUGUCACAUUUUGACCGUCUACAUCCAUAGUAUCCUUUUUAGCGAUUGAAAAUGAUCCUUGGGAAGCAUUUGUACUGUCACCUUGCCUUACUCCUCACUGGGCACGUGGCAGAGGCCGUACAAGUGACCACAGUCACCUGAGGC